RNAcentral lists this transfer RNA (76 nucleotides) under Providencia sp. RNAcentral's name for it is "tRNA-His". It matches the Rfam family "tRNA". From Rfam's summary of the family: Transfer RNA (tRNA) molecules are approximately 80 nucleotides in length. The record is from RNAcentral. RNAcentral also lists the same sequence under 135 other names. Lineage: Bacteria; Pseudomonadati; Pseudomonadota; Gammaproteobacteria; Enterobacterales; Morganellaceae.
GUGGCUAUAGCUCAGUUGGUAGAGCCCUGGAUUGUGAUUCCAGUUGUCGUGGGUUCGAGCCCCAUUAGCCACCCCA